AAGCGGUUGACAAAACGCAAAGCGUUUUGAACGUUGGCUUUGCCAACGGCUCCGAAGGAGUGAGAAAUCUGUCACAACAGAUUUCGAAUAAAAAACCAUUAA
Molecule: non-coding RNA, 102 nt
Filed under: Actinobacillus pleuropneumoniae serovar 5b str. L20
Lineage: Bacteria; Pseudomonadati; Pseudomonadota; Gammaproteobacteria; Pasteurellales; Pasteurellaceae
Description: Aggregatibacter sRNA 22
Rfam family: Aggregatibacter sRNA 22
Source: Rfam by way of RNAcentral